This 1172-nucleotide long non-coding RNA is filed under the name Castor canadensis (American beaver). Its description in RNAcentral is "lncRNA (ENSCCNG00000026857.1)". Lineage: Eukaryota; Metazoa; Chordata; Mammalia; Rodentia; Castoridae. The record is from RNAcentral.
CUGCUUUAUACACAGAGAAAGCAAUGCUCAGCACUUCCAAUAGCAUCGCUGCUGGUGGCUUGGAUCAGAACAGUGUUCAUGGUAAGAAACUGAAGAUGUGCAACCUGGACCUGUACCCCUUCUCCAUGGAGACCUGUCUGAUUGGAGAUGAGAGAAGAAGUUCCACUGCACCGAGAUUAGGCCCAUGCUUAUUCUUGGCAUUUUUAUUCACUUAAAACCAGAUAAAUCCUUUGAGUCCUGACUACUCAAACUGUGGUUGAUGGGCUAGCAGCUUAAGCUCCAUCUGGAGCACUGUAUAAAUGAGAAUUUCAGGACCAGGACCACUCUGCAGAAUCAGGAUCUGCAUUGAACAUGCUGCCCAAACCAUUUGCUACACUUACUAAAGUUUUAGAAGCACUGCUCUAGGACCAUCUUUCUCUAAGUGUAAUCCUAAAACACUCAGAGCUUUUCUUAAAAACCAAAUUUCUAGGCUCACUGCAGGACUGUAUAUGGGUCCCUGGAGGUAAAUUCUAGAAUCUGCAUUUUCAGCAAGUGCCCUUGGUUCCUGUGCGCAUGCAGAUGUAAGAAUCCAGUGCCAGAUGGAAGGAAUCAGUAGAGAUGGCUGUGGGCUGGAAUGGAACAAUGACAUUUAGGAACUGUGCACCAUGUCACAGCCCCUGCUGGAGAUCAAUACAGCAGAUCCAGUUGGUUGUGGAAAACACAGACCUCUCCCCGUGGCAAGAAUCAUAAGGAUGCAAUGACAAGAGACUAUUACAACUAGCUCUCACUGAUGGCCAGGUGAUGAAACCCAGGUUCUGAUAGUGAAAAUCCCAUGCUGGUCAGGUUCUCACAAGAGGCCACGGGAAAGCCAUGUCCAUUUCAGGAAUUCCAGCUCCACUGGGUCCCAGGUCCAUCCAGGCCAAAGAAUGAGACUGUUUGCCACAGAAGAAUCUUGCAAAGUUAAAAUGGUGGCCUCAUUAUCUGCCUUAGUAAUAGUCACCUGCCUCAUCCUGAAAACAAGGUCCUAUGUGCAGAUAGGUGAUUGGGAUCCAUAUCAGGUCCUUUUCCCUCUCCAAAACUACACCAAGAUAAUUCAUCCUGAACACAUUAUGAAGAAGGAAGGAAGGGAGAGUAGAAGAGAAGGCCUGGGUUUGGGGAUCUUCUGUCUUCUGCAACAUUGGUGCUUGUCCUGA